CCCUUAGAUGUUCUGGGCCGCACGCGCGCUACACUGAUGCAUUCAACGAGCCUAUCCUUGACCGACAGGUCCGGGUAAUCUUUGAAUCUGCAUCGUGACGGGGAUAGAUUAUUGCAAUUAUUAAUCUUCAACGAGGAAUGCCUAGUAGGCGCAAGUCAUCAGCUUGCGUCGAUUACGUCCCUGCCCUUUGUACACACCGCCCGUCGCUCCUACCGAUUUGGUGUGCUGGUGAAAUGUUCGGAUCGGCCGUUUGUCGCGGUUUCCGCGGCUCGUGGCUGAGAAGUUCAUUAAACCCUCCCACCUAGAGGAAGGAGAAGUCGUAACA
Molecule: ribosomal RNA, 325 nt
Filed under: uncultured eukaryote
Lineage: Eukaryota
Description: partial 18S ribosomal RNA
Rfam family: Eukaryotic small subunit ribosomal RNA
Source: RNAcentral